Molecule: ribosomal RNA, 1498 nt
Filed under: uncultured bacterium
Lineage: Bacteria
Description: 16S ribosomal RNA
Rfam family: Bacterial small subunit ribosomal RNA
Source: RNAcentral
AGUUCGAUCAUGGCUCAGGAUGAACGCUGGCGGCAUGCCUAAUACAUGCAAGUCGAACGGAGUGAAGCCUUCGGGUUUCAUUCAGUGGCGAACGGGUGAGUAAUACGCAGGGAACCUGGCCAUGGCAGGGGGAUACACUCUGGAAACGGAGCAUAAGACCCCAUAGGCAGUAAGGCGGCAUCGCCUUACUGUUAAAGAAAGCUGAAAGGCUUUGGCGAUGGAUGGACCUGCGGUGCAUUAGCUUGUUGGUGAGGCAACGGCUUACCAAGGCGAUGAUGCAUAGCCGGCCUGAGAGGGCGGACGGCCACACUGGGACUGAGACACGGCCCAGACUCCUGCGGGAGGCAGCAGUAGGGAAUUUUCGUCAAUGGGCGCAAGCCUGAACGAGCAAUGCCGCGUGAGUGAGGAAGGUCUUCGGACUGUAAAGCUCUGUUGCCGGGGAAAAAGGGGAAAUGCAGGAAAUGGCAUUUCAUGGAUGGUACCCGGCCAGAAAGCCACGGCUAACUACGUGCCAGCAGCCGCGGUAAUACGUAGGUGGCGAGCGUUAUCCGGAAUGAUUGGGCGUAAAGGGUGCGCAGGCGGUCUGUUAAGUCUGAAGGCAAAGGGAUGAGCUCAACUCAUUUAUGAUUCAGAAACUGGCAGACUUGAGGACAGGAGAGGGCGGUGGAACUCCAUGUGUAGCGGUAAAAUGCGCAGAGAUAUGGAAGAACACCAGUGGCGAAGGCGGCCGCCUGGCCUGUGACUGACGCUGAGGCACGAAAGCGUGGGGAGCAAAUAGGAUUAGAUACCCUAGUAGUCCACGCCGUAAACGAUGAGGAGCAGGUGUUGGGAGUGAAAUCUCAGUGCCGAAGCCAACGCAGUGACUCCUCCGCCUGGGGAGUAUGCACGCAAGUGUGAAACUCAAAGGAAUUGACGGGGGCCCGCACAAGCGGUGGAGUAUGUGGUUUAAUUCGAAGCAACGCGAAGAACCUUACCAGGUUUUGACAUCGGAUGCGAAGGCGCAGAGAUGCGCUGGAGGCUAUCAUCCAGACAGGUGGUGCAUGGUUGUCGUCAGCUCGUGUCGUGAGAUGUUCAGUUAAGUCUGGCAACGAGCGCAACCCCCGUGGUAUGUUACUAACGCUUUAGGGCGAGGACUCAUAUCAGACUGCCGGUGACAAACCGGAGGAAGGCGGGGAUGACGUCAAAUCAUCAUGCCCCUUAUGACCUGGGCUACACACGUACUACAAUGGCGUCUACAGAGGGAAGCGACCCUGAGAAGGGAAGCGAAACCGGAAAAGGGCGUCCCAGUUCGGAUUGAAGUCUGCAACCCGACUUCAUGAAGAUGGAAUCGCUAGUAAUCGCGGAUCAGCAUGCCGCGGUGAAUACGUUCCCGGGCCUUGUACACACCGCCCGUCAAACCAUGGAAGCCGGCAACGCCCGAAGCCGGUGGCAUAACCUUUUAGGAGUGAGCCGUCGAAGGCGGGGCCGAUGACUGGGGUUAAGUCGUAACAAGGUACCC